RNAcentral lists this ribosomal RNA (510 nucleotides) under Yersinia enterocolitica subsp. palearctica YE-150. Its description in RNAcentral is "bacterial SSU rRNA". It matches the Rfam family "Bacterial small subunit ribosomal RNA", at positions 1027 to 1533 of the family's 1533-position model. The record is from RNAcentral. Lineage: Bacteria; Pseudomonadati; Pseudomonadota; Gammaproteobacteria; Enterobacterales; Yersiniaceae.
CCGUGAGACAGGUGCUGCAUGGCUGUCGUCAGCUCGUGUUGUGAAAUGUUGGGUUAAGUCCCGCAACGAGCGCAACCCUUAUCCUUUGUUGCCAGCACGUGAUGGUGGGAACUCAAAGGAGACUGCCGGUGAUAAACCGGAGGAAGGUGGGGAUGACGUCAAGUCAUCAUGGCCCUUACGAGUAGGGCUACACACGUGCUACAAUGGCAGAUACAAAGUGAAGCGAACUCGCGAGAGCAAGCGGACCACAUAAAGUCUGUCGUAGUCCGGAUUGGAGUCUGCAACUCGACUCCAUGAAGUCGGAAUCGCUAGUAAUCGUAGAUCAGAAUGCUACGGUGAAUACGUUCCCGGGCCUUGUACACACCGCCCGUCACACCAUGGGAGUGGGUUGCAAAAGAAGUAGGUAGCUUAACCUUCGGGAGGGCGCUUACCACUUUGUGAUUCAUGACUGGGGUGAAGUCGUAACAAGGUAACCGUAGGGGAACCUGCGGUUGGAUCACCUCCUUACCU